Molecule: long non-coding RNA, 1484 nt
Filed under: Marmota monax (woodchuck)
Lineage: Eukaryota; Metazoa; Chordata; Mammalia; Rodentia; Sciuridae
Source: RNAcentral
GUGGAUGUGGACCUGCGCCGCGUAUCCCAGCCUGGGUAUGACAAAUUGCUAGUCCAUCUGGGAAUGAGUAGGGGCCCAGCUUCCCUCUUCCUGUCUCCUCCAUGCCCCUGGGUCUGAGGCCCUCCAUGGCUCACUUUAAACUCAGAAGAAUAGUGGUUAAGCCAGGCCAGGCUUAAAGGGGGCUUCCAGUGGUGACAAAAUACAUGUCUAGGCCAAAGAUCUCAAGACCCAUGUGUCUGGCAGUCAAGGCUCCCAACCAGCCCCACUGCCAACAUUCUCCAUGUGCCUCAGUGGGUUGUCCCCUGUCUUGAACCCAUGUUCUAUGCCAGCACUUCCCCCCAGCCAGGUACACUGCUCUCAUGCAGAGCCUCCCUAUCUAGAACCUCCCUGUUCAUCUCUGUCCUAGAGACUGGGUCUGCCCAGGGAAAGCUUUUUAAACACUUGUCAUGAACCCCUCUGCCCCCAGCCUACCCAGGGCUCCCCAAUAGCCUAGACCUUCUGAGGAAAGGGCAGAUGUAGAUUCUAUUGUUAUGGGUUGAGUUCUGCCCCCAACUCCCCUGCCCCCCGCCAAAAAAAAUUCUAACUCCACUAUCUAGAAUGUGACUAUUGGGAGAUAACGCCUUUCCAUAUAUAAUCAAGAUAAAAUUAGGCUGGGUCCUAAUCCAAAGUGACUGUUGUCCUUAUCUGAAAAGAAAUUUGGAUACCGCAUACACUGCAUGAAGUUCUGCUAUACCAGAAUAAGCAGGGAGUAUACCAGAAGCUGAGAGAAAGACCUGGAUCAUAGCUUCCUUAGAGUGUUCAGAGAGAGUAUAGAUCUGCUGCCUCUUCAUCUCAGACUUCCAACCUCCAGAGCUGUGAGACAACAGAUUAUUAUUUAAGCCAUUCUGUCAUAUUUUGUCAUGUCAGCCCUAGCAGACUAAAAUAACUGUGAUCCUUACUUUGUAGGUGGAGAAAUAGGUUUGAGGCUUAAAGGGGGCUUCUUAAUAGUCCUCUACUUAAUAGUCCUCCACUUCCCAGAGAGGUGGGAAGGCACAGCCAUGAGGCCAGGAUGGACAGGACAAGGACUGGUGGCACCUCAGGGGGCACAUACCUCUGUAGGCCAAUGGCCAACCCACAAAGUUCUCACCACAAUGCCUUGCACCCCUCUCACCUUCACUUUAUGUGCCCAGGCCCUUUCCAUUUCUCAUAGUCAUAAUUCUUGCCUGAGGGGCUUUACAUUCACUAUCCCCUGUGCCUGAAAAAUCCCUCUUGUAGACAUCCAAACCAUGCCAUCCUUUACUUUCCACAGGUCUUUGCUGAAGUCUCUGGGGGUGGGGGGAAGGUACAGGUACCUGUUUACAGUUAGUUGUAUUCUUUUUUUUUUUUUUGGUAUCUUAGACACCAGGUAUAGCUCAGUGAUAGAUUGCUUGCAUCGCAUGUACAAGGUCUAAGUUCAAUCCAGCACUGUAAAAAUAAAUAAAGUUGCAAUUUUCCCUGUUAGUUCC